GACGAACGCUGGCGGCGUGCUUAACACAUGCAAGUCGAACGGAAAGGCCCUGCUUUUGUGGGGUGCUCGAGUGGCGAACGGGUGAGUAACACGUGAGUAACCUGCCCUUGACUUUGGGAUAACUUCAGGAAACUGGGGCUAAUACCGGAUAGGAGCUCCUGCUGCAUGGUGGGGGUUGGAAAGUUUCGGCGGUUGGGGAUGGACUCGCGGCUUAUCAGCUUGUUGGUGGGGUAGUGGCUUACCAAGGCUUUGACGGGUAGCCGGCCUGAGAGGGUGACCGGCCACAUUGGGACUGAGAUACGGCUCAGACUCCUACGGGAGGCAGCAGUGGGGAAGAUUGCACAAUGGGCGGAAGCCUGAUGCAGCAACGCCGCGUGCGGGAUGACGGCCUUCGGGUUGUAAACCGCUUUCGCCUGUGACGAAGCGUGAGUGACGGUAAUGGGUAAAGAAGCACCGGCUAACUACGUG
This 468-nucleotide ribosomal RNA is filed under the name uncultured bacterium. Its description in RNAcentral is "partial 16S ribosomal RNA". It matches the Rfam family "Bacterial small subunit ribosomal RNA", at positions 28 to 507 of the family's 1533-position model. The record is from RNAcentral.